RNAcentral lists this ribosomal RNA (816 nucleotides) under Potebniamyces pyri. RNAcentral describes it as "eukaryotic LSU rRNA". It matches the Rfam family "Eukaryotic large subunit ribosomal RNA", at positions 87 to 920 of the family's 3401-position model. Lineage: Eukaryota; Fungi; Ascomycota; Leotiomycetes; Phacidiales; Phacidiaceae. The record is from RNAcentral.
CGGCGAGUGAAGCGGCAACAGCUCAAAUUUGAAAUCUGGCCCUUUCAGGGUCCGAGUUGUAAUUUGUAGAGGAUGUUUCGGGUGUGGCUCCGGUCUAAGUUCCUUGGAACAGGACGUCAUAGAGGGUGAGAAUCCCGUAUGUGACUGGUAGCCUACGCCCAUGUGAAACUCCUUCGACGAGUCGAGUUGUUUGGGAAUGCAGCUCAAAAUGGGUGGUAAAUUUCAUCUAAAGCUAAAUAUUGGCCAGAGACCGAUAGCGCACAAGUAGAGUGAUCGAAAGAUGAAAAGCACUUUGGAAAGAGAGUUAAACAGUACGUGAAAUUGUUGAAAGGGAAGCGCUUGCAACCAGACUUGCAUGUAGCUGAUCAACCGGUGUUCUCACCGGUGCACUCAGUUGCGUUCAGGCCAGCAUCGGUUUCGACGGUUGGAUAAAGGCCCUGGGAAUGUAGCUCCUCUCGGGGAGUGUUAUAGCCCAGGGUGCAAUGCAGCCUGUCGGGACCGAGGACCGCGCUUCGGCUAGGAUGCUGGCGUAAUGGUUGUAAGCGACCCGUCUUGAAACACGGACCAAGGAGUCUAACAUCUAUGCGAGUGUUUGGGUGUCAAACCCAUACGCGUAAUGAAAGUGAACGGAGGUGAGAACCCUUAAGGGUGCAUCAUCGACCGAUCCUGAUGUCUUCGGAUGGAUUUGAGUAAGAGCAUAGCUGUUGGGACCCGAAAGAUGGUGAACUAUGCCUGAAUAGGGUGAAGCCAGAGGAAACUCUGGUGGAGGCUCGCAGCGGUUCUGACGUGCAAAUCGAUCGUCAAAUUUGGGUAUAG